This 468-nucleotide ribosomal RNA is filed under the name uncultured bacterium. RNAcentral's name for it is "partial 16S ribosomal RNA". It matches the Rfam family "Bacterial small subunit ribosomal RNA", at positions 28 to 507 of the family's 1533-position model. The record is from RNAcentral.
GACGAACGCUGGCGGCGUGCUUAACACAUGCAAGUCGAACGGAAAGGCCCUGCUUUUGUGGGGUGCUCGAGUGGCGAACGGGUGAGUAACACGUGAGUAACCUGCCCUUGACUUUGGGAUAACUUCAGGAAACUGGGGCUAAUACCGGAUAGGAGCUCCUGCUGCAUGGUGGGGGUUGGAAAGUUUCGGCGGUUGGGGAUGGACUCGCGGCUUAUCAGCUUGUUGGUGGGGUAGUGGCUUACCAAGGCUUUGACGGGUAGCCGGCCUGAGAGGGUGACCGGCCACAUUGGGACUGAGAUACGGCCCAGACUCCUACGGGAGGCAGCAGUGGGGAAUUUUGCACAAUGGGCGGAAGCCUGAUGCAGCAACGCCGCGUGCGGGAUGACGGCCUUCGGGUUGUAAACCGCUUUCGCCUGUGACGAAGCGUGAGUGACGGUAAUGGGUAAAGAAGCAGCGGCUAACUACGUG